This 463-nucleotide ribosomal RNA is filed under the name uncultured bacterium. RNAcentral describes it as "partial 16S ribosomal RNA". It matches the Rfam family "Bacterial small subunit ribosomal RNA", at positions 28 to 507 of the family's 1533-position model. The record is from RNAcentral.
GGCGAACGCUGGCGGCGUGCUUAACACAUGCAAGUCGAACGGUGAGCCUCUUCGGUUGGGGUCAGUAGCGAACGGGUGAGUAACAGGGGAACAAGCGGCUCACGGCCCUGGGAUAACGGGAAGAAAUUGGGACUAAGGCCGGAUGUCCACCGCAUCUCGUAUGGCUGGUGGUGGAAAGGGUUUACGGCUGGGGAUGGGCUCGCAGCGAAGCAGCUUGUCGGUGGGGUAGGGUCGUACCAAGGCGGCGAUGGGUAGGCCACCUGGGAGGGUGACCGCCCACACGAGGACUGAGAUACGCCCCAGACGCCUACGUGCGGCAGCAGUGGGGAAUAUUGCGCAGUGGGCGGAAGCCUGACGCAGCGACGCCGCGUGCGGGAUGACGGCUUUCGGGUUGUAAACCUCUUUCUGCAGGGACGAAGCGCAAGUGACGGUACCUGCAGAAGAAGCACCGGCUAACUACGUG